UUAUCAGGUACAUUGUUAAAGAUAUUAUAUUGUAUAUUGUAAUUGUAUUAUUUUGGUAACUGCCCCAGUGAACAAGCACCAAACCAGCGUGCGUGAGUGCAGCGUUGGAUGGUGAGACGUGCAUUGCAUGACGUGCAAUUUUGUGUCGUUCUUAUCAGAAUAAAGCUACAUGACUGGUGCUACAUGUUGGAGUUCCGUGUCGAUGACUGAUUGUACACAACGCAAGACGAGUACUGUUACACUGGCUUUACCACCUAGUCCAUCUCUCUCUCUCUCCCUGCUGGCAUAACUACCUAGUCCAGCUCUCUCUCUCUCUCCCUGCAGGCUUUACCACCUAGUCCAUCUCUCUCUCUCUCCCUCUGCAGGCUUUACCACCUAGUCCAUCUCUCUCUCUCUCCCUCUGCAGGCUUUACCACCUAGUCCAUCUCUCUCUCUCUCCCUCUGCAGGCUUUACCACCUAGUCCAUCUCUCUCCCUGCAGGCUUUACCACCUAGUCCAUCUCUCUCUCUCUCUCUCCCUCUGCAGGCUUUACCACCUAGUCCAUCUCUCUCUCUCUCCCUCUGCAGGCUUUACCACCUAGUCCAUCUCUCUCUCUCUCCCUGCAGGAUUUACCACCUAGUCCAUCUCUCUCUCUCUCUCUCUCUGCAGGCUUUACCACCUAGUCCAUCUCUCUCUCUCCCUCUGCAGGCUUUACCAACUAGUCCAUCUCUCUCUCCCUGAAGGCUUUACCACCUAGUCCAUCUCUCUCUCUCUCCCUCUCUCCCUCUCUCCCUCCCUCCCUCUCUCCCUCCCUCCCUGCUGGCUUUACCACCUAGUCCAUCUCUCUCCCUCACUCCCUGCAGGCUUUACCACCUAGUCCAUCUCUCUCUCCCUGCAGGCUUUACCACCUAGUCCAUGUCUCUCUCCCUGCAGGCUUUACCACCUAGUCCAUCUCUUUCUCUCUCUCUCUCUCCCUGCAGGCUUUACCACCUAGUCCAUCUCUCUCUCUCUCCCUGCAGGAAUUAAAACUUAGUCCAUCUCUCUCCCUCUCACUGCAGGCUUUACCACCUAGUCCAGCUCUCUCUCUCUCUCCAUCUCUCCCUGCUGGCUUUACCACCUAGUCCAUCUCUCUCUCUCUCUCUCUGCUGGCUUUAGCACCUAGUCCAUCUCUCUCUCCCUGCAGGCUUUACUACCUACUCCAGCUCUCUCUCUCUCUCCCUGCAGGCUUGACCACCUAGUCCAUCUCUCUCUCCCUCCCUGCAGGCUUUACCACCUAGUCCAUCUCUCUCUCUCUCCCUGCAGGCUUCACCACCUAGUCCAUCUCUCUCUCCCUGCAGGCUUUACCACCUAGUCCAUCUCUCUCUCCCUGAAGGCUUUACCACCUAGUCCAUCUCUCUCUCUCUCCCUCUGCAGGCUUUACCACCUAGUCCAUCUCUCUCUCUCUCCCUCUGCAGGCUUUACCACCUAGUCCAUCUCUCUCUCUCUCUCCCUCUGCAGGCUUUACCACCUAGUCCAUCUCUCUCUCCCUGCAGGCUUUACCACCUAGUCCAUCUCUUUCUCUCUCUCUCCCUGCAGGCUUUACCACCUAGUCCAUCUCUUUCUCUCUCUCUCC
Long non-coding RNA from Oncorhynchus mykiss (rainbow trout), 1591 nucleotides. Lineage: Eukaryota; Metazoa; Chordata; Actinopteri; Salmoniformes; Salmonidae. The record is from Ensembl.